Molecule: ribosomal RNA, 403 nt
Filed under: uncultured prokaryote
Description: bacterial SSU rRNA
Rfam family: Bacterial small subunit ribosomal RNA
Source: RNAcentral
UGGGGGAUAUUGCACAAUGGGGGAAACCCUGAUGCAGCAACGCCGCGUGAAGGAAGAAGGUCUUCGGAUUGUAAACUUUUGUCUUGCGGGACGAAUAAUGACGGUACCGCAGGAGGAAGCCACGGCUAACUACGUGCCAGCAGCCGCGGUAAUACGUAGGUGGCGAGCGUUGUCCGGAAUUACUGGGGGUAAAGGGUGCGUAGGCGGGUUUGCAAGUCAGACGUGAAAACUAUCGGCGCAACCGAUAGCCUGCGUUUGAAACUGUGAAUCUUGAGUGGUGAAGAGGUAAGCGGAAUUCCUAGUGUAGCGGUGAAAUGCGUAGAUAUUAGGAGGAACACCAGUGGCGAAGGCGGCUUACUGGGCACUAACUGACGCUGAGGCACGAAAGCAUGGGGAGCAAACA